Molecule: microRNA precursor, 202 nt
Filed under: Dichanthelium oligosanthes
Lineage: Eukaryota; Viridiplantae; Streptophyta; Magnoliopsida; Poales; Poaceae
Description: MIR1435 microRNA precursor family
Rfam family: MIR1435 microRNA precursor family
Source: Rfam by way of RNAcentral
UUGGUUUAUCCUAAGUCAAAUUUGACAAACUUUGAUCAAGUUUAUAGAAAAAUAUAACAACAACUAUACUACCAAACAUAUGUACUAUCAAAACAUAUUACAUGGUGGAUUCAACGAAACAAAUUUGGUAUUAUAGAUGUUGUUAUAUUUUUCUAUAAAAAUUUGGUCAAAGUUGGAUAAGUUUGACUUAGGACAAACCAAA